RNAcentral lists this ribosomal RNA (497 nucleotides) under uncultured bacterium. RNAcentral describes it as "partial 16S ribosomal RNA". It matches the Rfam family "Bacterial small subunit ribosomal RNA", at positions 28 to 507 of the family's 1533-position model. The record is from RNAcentral.
GAUGAACGCUGGCGGCGUGCCUAAUACGUGCAAGUCGAGCGAACAGAUGAGGAGCUUGCUCCUCUGACGUUAGCGGCGGACGGGUGAGUAACACGUGGAUAACCUACCUAUAAGACUGGGAUAACUUCGGGAAACCGGAGCUAAUACCGGAUAAUAUAUUGAACCGCAUGGUUCAAUAGUGAAAGACGGUUUUGCUGUCACUUAUAGAUGGAUCCGCGCCGCAUUAGCUAGUUGGUAAGGUAACGGCUUACCAAGGCAACGAUGCGUAGCCGACCUGAGAGGGUGAUCGGCCACACUUGAACUGAGACACGGUCCAGACUCCUACGGGAGGCAGCAGUAGGGAAUCUUCCGCAAUGGGCGAAAGCCUGACGGAGCAACGCCGCGUGAGUGAUGAAGGUCUUCGGAUCGUAAAACUCUGUUAUUAGGGAAGAACAAAUGUGUAAGUAACUAUGCACGUCUUGACGGUACCUAAUCAGAAAGCCACGGCUAACUACGUG